AGCAGUAGCCACGGGAAUACAGAGGGUGCAAGCGUUAAUCGGAUUUACUGGGCGUAAAGGGCGCGUAGGUGGUUAUUUAAGUGAGAUGUGAAAGCCCCGGGCUUAACCUGGGAACUGCAUCUUAUACUGGGUAACUGGAGUGCAGUAGAGGGUAGUGGAAUUUCCGGUGUAGCGGUGAAAUGCGUAGAUAUCGGAAGGAACACCAGUGGCGAAGGCGGCUACCUGGACUGAGACUGACACUGAGGCGCGAGAGCGUGGGGAGCAAACAGGAUCAGAUACCCCCGUAGUCCCUGUCUCUUAUAC
RNAcentral lists this ribosomal RNA (303 nucleotides) under uncultured bacterium. RNAcentral's name for it is "partial 16S ribosomal RNA". It matches the Rfam family "Bacterial small subunit ribosomal RNA", at positions 507 to 807 of the family's 1533-position model. The record is from RNAcentral.